RNAcentral lists this long non-coding RNA (704 nucleotides) under Physcomitrium patens. RNAcentral describes it as "long non-coding RNA (PPAT_LNC004545)". The record is from RNAcentral. Lineage: Eukaryota; Viridiplantae; Streptophyta; Bryopsida; Funariales; Funariaceae.
UGAUUCAGCCCCCACCCCCCUUUCGCAUUCAUGGACCCUCCUUCUCGACUUCAGCGACGCUGGUACACUGCGCCAUAGCUGGAAUUUGCGCUGCAACAAGUUGCAUGACGCGACGAAAAACACCGUUUCUCAAAAUUCCACUUCCUGGUAAGGCUCUGGUAAGGAAUCCAUUGUGGGUUCUCUUUUUGUUACCAGAGAUGUAAAUUUCCAGUUCUUGAUAGAAUUAUACUUAUUUACAUGUAUAUAUGAUUUUUCUUUUUUUUUUUUUUUUUAUUUUUUCGAAUUCUUGGUUUAACAGGAAUCGUAUGUUCUUAAGAUCUGUGUAAAUUUUAUUUUUUUAAAUAUUCACUCUAAGAAAUGUGCAAUAUAGGUAUACAGUGGAUUUUUGAAGUGGACGCAAAGAAUUGCAUUGAAUGGCAGAUAUUGAUGAUAGAAGGUUAAGGAUGUAUGAAAAUUUUAACAGGGAGAACUUGUCCUUGUAGAAGUUUAAAUGCAAUUUGCAUAAGAUAAGUUUUAUUUUAAGAGCAUAUUAGAAGUUAUUGAAAAGUUUUGAAAAAAAUCAGAACAAUCACUAUUUUUGCAAGAGACAAGACAAGCAUUCAAUGUGUUACUGAAAUUUAACUUUCAUACUAUUAGUCUUGUAAAAAAACCACCAAAGCCAUGGCACAUGCUUUGCAAACAAUUUGAAAUCAUUUUACCAUCAA